CAAAUCUAUUACGGCUCCCCUCUCUCUUUCUCAAGCUCACCGCCUCGUCUCCUCCGUUAAGGAAGACAAGUACAGCUAAGGCUCUAUAAGGUGGCGAGCUAGAACUAAAGAGAAGGGAAAGAGAAACUAGGGACCGACGGCGCCAGCCAACAAGAACAGAGAGCGGGAGGGGCCACGUACAACGCCGGUACAACAUCAGGCGGUAAAACGAGGGGAAGAUGAACGGACUCUACCCACUAAACAAGACAUUCAGUAGCCCACAAGAUCCAGUAGACCAUCAACACCAGCAAAAGCGGGGACGACUAAACAAAGGAGACGACAUCUACAUCUCCAUCCGCUUCAACAUCAACAUCACCACCUAAGGGGACAGGUAAAAUAAAGACGUCCGGACCCACAGAUAAGGCGGACAUAAAAAUAGCCAUCUACAUCAACAUAUACCGAACCGGACCCUAAGACGACCGAAUACGUUACACCUACAUCAUCGAUUAAACACAUAGGAAGGAGACUUAAACAAACGGGAAGGAUCAAACUAAAACCGGGCCGGGAAACACUGCAUCUACAUCCACGAUAAACAAAUUCAAAGGACGAGAUAAUACCAAAGACUUAACAACCGAGGAAUACACAGAAUGGACGUGUACAAACGAGAACAUCAAAGACUUAGGGAGUACUUAAAAAGAACAAUCUACAUCCACAAGUCAAAGGGACCAAGCACUUAGAGUUACUUAAACACACAUGAUCCGGACGUCACGACUACAUCACAAUCAGGUACCUAAAAAGAAUAAAAACAGUCACGUUAUAUGGAGUCUUAAUGUCACAUUACAUAGGGUAUUAACCUCACACUAGGGGUACGAAGAAAUAAGAUUAAUGUCACAUUACAUGGGAUUUUAAUAUCACAUAAGAUCGGGUCUACCGUGACAUAUACGGAUGUUAACGUAAAAGCAAAUGAUUGGGGUCUAAAUGUCACAUUAUAUGGGGUCUAAAAGUGACAUAAAACAUACGAAGUCCUGACAUUAAUAACGUACCAAGGGGCAAAAUGUGACAUUAAACGUACCAUGUCGUGACAUUAACAACAUCCCGAAAGUCAAAAACAGUCUAUCUGAUGAAAGUUUACAAAGUAGUGACAUUAUAUGGGAUCUAAAAGAGACAUUAAAUAUACGAAGUCUUGACAUUAACAAUAUACGAAGUCUAUCUAAUGUAACCGAAGAAGCAGACCCGAAUGUGACAUCAUACGGUAUCAAAAUGUGAUAUUAAACAUACCAAGCUGUAACAUAAACAACAUCCAUAAACGCUCCAUCUAAUGUCACCUAAAAUGGAAACUUAACCUCCCGAAUGUGACAUUAAAUGACGUCUAAAUGUGACAUUAAACUUACGAAGUUGUAACAUUAACAACAUGCCGAAUGUUGCAUAAACAGUGUCAACUAAAUGGAGACUAAAACGACACAUUAAUCGUACGAAAAUCCUGACGUUAAGUACAUAAAAGAACGAAAAAAUAAAAGAAGAAAAGAACACGAUCACACAGAGGUAACGUCAUCAUAACUCGUCUCCAGGACAAAAUCCAACUACUAACAAAAACACAAGAAAGAUCUAAACAGAUCAUUUAUCACAAUGUAAUCGACAAGUACACAUAAGAAAUUACUUCACAUACCUCUAAAACAAGAUGAUAAAAUGAAGAAAAGAAAAAGGAGGAAGUACAUAAGACAAAUAUAUAAAAUGAAAUUACUCAUCCGAUGUCUUUCAGAGAGUAGACCUGCAAACCAAUCAUAGUAGAGAACUGUUACGUCUAAGACACCCACUUGGAUAACACGGAUUGCUGAAACGCCUUCUACCAAGAAUAGGAUACAGAUGCCUUGAUAGACCACUACUUCCUCCCAAACUGUUUAGAGAAAACUUCAAGAUAAACUUAGUUCACACAAAAGGAAAAGAACAUGAUAAAACUAAAACAAAACACAUAAAAGAAACCCACCGGGAACACAAAAACAGUAAAGUCUUGCAUUUUACGAACUUUCCUUUAAUAGUAGACGAAGGUACAAGUAUCCGGGUAGAGGACUCACAUGGACGUUCGUUUUCCCGUUAAACAAAAGAUAUCAACACGAAAAGAGUCUAACCAUCGAGACACCAUAAACUUAAAACGAAAAUGACUUAUAUUAUAGCCUUACAUCUUCACGCCACUAUCUUUUACACAGGACGCUG
Molecule: ribosomal RNA, 2190 nt
Filed under: Triticum aestivum (bread wheat)
Lineage: Eukaryota; Viridiplantae; Streptophyta; Magnoliopsida; Poales; Poaceae
Description: partial small subunit ribosomal RNA
Source: RNAcentral